CGCUUAUCGUGGGCGUGAAGAAGGGUGGCACGCGCGCCCUGCUCGAGUUUCUGCGGCUGCACCCGGACGUCCGCGCUCUGGGCUCGGAGCCCCACUUCUUCGAUAGGUGCUAUGAUCGCGGACUCGCUUGGUAUCGACCUGGCACAUGCUGUUCCUUCUGCCUGAAAUGCCUGUCCCCACAGAGAGUGUGAAUGGAGGUAGAGGUGGCCGUGCUUCUGCUGAGCUUAUCCAGCUGCUCCAUGGUUUCCAUGUUGGAACGUUCCAGAACGGCCCACAGGUACUGAGGACUCUGUGAUGGACAGGGCAGUGCUGACCAUCUGGAGUCGUCAAGAGGCCAGGGAGACCAAGUGAGCCACCAAGCAACUAGGAGAGUGGAGCACUAAAUACAGAGUGUGACAGGCACCAGGAAGCAGGGAGCAAGGGGGAAGGGGGCCAUUCCAGAGGGAGGUUCCCUGAGAGAGGAGACCACCUUGAGAGCACCAGCUGCGAUAGGGCAGGGCAGCAGGUGCCUCAAGCAGGGGACACACAGGCACAUUAGGUGAUGGAGGACUAGGUGAGGAAAUCCUGACUUUAAGGGCCGGGUUGUGGCUCAGUGGUAGAUGCUUUUCUCUCAUAUAUAGGGCCCUGUGUUCAAUCUCUAGUACUGGAAAAAAAAAGUAAGAAAGAAAGAAAAUUCUUGGAUAUGAGACAAGUUCUGCAUGUACAACCCAAAGUCUUAAGGAUAGGGAUUUGGACAGAUACUCACAUACCUGUGUUCCUGGCAGCUGUAUUUAAGUAGCUGAGAGGUGGAAACUGCCUGAGUGCCCAUCAGCAAAUGAUCAGGUAAACUAAAUGUGAUCAUGUGAUGUGUGCAUGCAACGGGCUAUUAUUCAGCUACAAAAAAAUGUAAUUAUUUUUUUCCACGUAGGGAAUCGAACCCAGGGCCUCAUGCAUGUGGGGCAAGUGCUGUACUCCUGAGCUACCCCAGCCCCAGAAUAAUGUUCUGAUGCCUGCUUCUGUGUGGAUCAACCUCAAAAACAUCUUGCUAAGUGAAAUAAGCCAGCCAGGGAAGUUAUAUCUUGCAUAAUCAUUUGUAUGAAAUGUGCAGAAUAGGCAAUCCAUAAAGACUGAGCAGCUUGGUGGUGGCCAGGGCUGGAGGGACAGGGAGUGGCUGCUUAGUGGCUGCAGGGUUUCCUCUCAAAAUGAUGAGAACAUUCUGGAACUGAAUUGAGGCGUCGGUCACACAACAUUGGGAAUUCACUAAAUGCCAUUGAAUUGUUCACUUUAAAAUGGUUGAUUUUGUUGUGUGAAUUUCACUUCAUUCAAAAAAAAAAAAAACUUCCACAGAAAACUCAGCAGCACAGGGAUGUGUUGGGAGAGAAGAUUCUGGGAGAGCUUUAUUAGUUCUGUUAGGACACGAAAGAUUCAUGAGGGAGGCACACAGCUGUAUGGGACAGAUGCCACAGAAGAAAGGAUUCAGGGCACAGAUCCCUCAGAGGCUGCAGGGACAUGUGCAGGCGGAGUCUGGCUGUGCCGCUGGGGCAGCGGGUCCUGCCAGCCCUGUGUGCUCUCCCAGGUUCCUUCUGACCCUUCAGAUUGCUCGUUCCCUAGAACGUCUCCUCUACAUCUGCUCCAUCUGUUCUCGGUGCAAGAUCUGGGGACCCUCUGCAGAGGAUGGGGCUCUGUGUGGCUCUCCUCUGGUACUCCAUCACAAACUCUAGUCACCUUGGUGUUCUGCUGCCCAACUCCAUCUCUUCAUUGGCAGGAGUCCACCAGCUUGGCCUCGGUUCCCCUCCCUUCCUCGCAGCUUAGAAACCAUGUCCAUGCGCCAUCUAGAGUGGACAUGCCUCACGGCUCCCUGUGUCUCUGGGGCUACUGUCCUUUGCUGCCUGGGGUUGUAUCCACAGCUUUGUAUAUUUUGUCUUGUUCUUUGCUUGUUUUAGGCAGAAGGGUCCAGUUCUUGUCACUGCAUCUUGGCUCAAAGUAGAGAGAAGGCUCUUAUGUCAGAGAGAAAGAAAUGUUAAAAAGAGAGAGAGAAAGAAAUCUAGUGGGGUCACGUUUCCUCCUCUGGCUCUCACAGGGAGUGGGACUAAUGUACCUCUGUCCCCUCCUGAGCAUCACCCUGGUGCACAGAGCUGGGCAGGAUCCAAAAAUGCUUCCUUGGGCAAGUCAAACCACUCUGGCCCAAAGGUGGGGAGGGUCUGGGUGUCCUCCAGACUGCUGCUGCCCCCACCCCCAGCAUCCAGCAUUGGCCAAUACGUGUCCCCUGCUUGUCCCCCUCCCUAAUGGCAGGAAGGGCAUAAAUGGAUCCUUGUUACCAAGGAGGAGGCUCAAAGCGGAAGGUAGCAUACCAUCACAGCUCCCAGGGGAGUUGGCUCAGGGGCCCCAGAGGCCCUGCAGUGCCUACCUGGACCAGAGGUUCUAAGCAAGAUGCCUCUAGCAGACUGGCCAUCAGGUGGAGGAAGGACAGGCAAGGGUUGCUCAGUUCUGGGAAGAGGCUCUUGAGGCUUUAGUUCAGGAAGUGAGGAUACAGGGUCGAUGCUGGGUGGCAGAGUGGCCCCAGUGCAGGGCCAUGUGGGCCCUGCUGGGCUGCUGGUGUAAGCACACAGCUGUCUAUAUGUUUGGGAACCACUGGCACACUAGGAUUUGGAGUGAUAUUUCUAUUUCCUAACUUAGAUUUCUCUCUAGAAACUGCCUAAAGAUUGUUCCUCCUCCCAACUCCUGUGAGGUCCUGUAAAGAUCCUGGGCCUGCAAUUAGGAAACCAGUCAGAGAGCCAGUUUGCAAACCAGCUGUCUCAAAAUGUACCCUCAGGAUUCUUACUUUAUGGAGCUCACUAAGUGAUGAUCCAGAGGGCCACAAGGAUUUUAUUACAUUCCCUGAGAGGAGGGGCAAGGCACAACACCUAGGGCCACAGGGGAGGCACCAGGGACCAACAGGGGCCAAAGGAGCAGGGGAAACUGAGGCCUGGGUCUUUCUUGGAGUCUCCACCAGGAAGGUGGAGCCCAGGUCUGGAUAGUGUGAAUAAUGCUGGGGGCUUUGGGUGGGGCUGGCAUCCCUGGUUGGCCCUGAGUGGUUCAGGUCAGGGUCAGGAGCUCUUGAGAGUUGGAUAAGGAGCAGGUCAGACGUGGGGCUCUGGGUAGCAGGGCAGAUGGAACAGGUGGCUGUUAGUUUGGCCUGUGACUAAUGGAUGUCAGAGAGAGAAAUACAGAACCAGAGAGAACACAGAACACCAGCCCUUAUCCAAGGCCGGGCCAGGAGCCAUUUCCUGUGGAGCUGCAGAUCCUCACUGAGCCGUGGAAUGCAGCCCCAUCCUGGGGACUUGUCUCACCCUGGUUCAUUCUGGGUUGCAGGCUGCUGGUACCUUGGGCUGGGCUGGAACAGCACUAAGUCCUGUGGUGACCCACUUCAGAGACUCUCUGGACUCCUCCCCAGAUAGGACAGUGAGUCCAGAGGAGAUGUGGGACAAGCUGGGAACACAGUCCUUGCUGGCCCUGAGCCAUUGAGGAUGGGCAGGCUAGGCAGGGCCCUUGAGGGAUCCUGGAGGCCAGUUGGGGUCCUGCCUCUAGAUCCUACCCUCUGGCAAGGGGACAAAGUACUAUGUCUCCAGAUGGGCUGUGGGCAGGGUCUGGCUGAGAACCCAGCUAGAGUCCUGGCUUUCAGGGACACAUGGUGUGACAGCCACCAGGGAGACUAGAUGGGCAGGAGCCCACCAAGGCCACAGAGACUUUCAGGUAAGCCAGGCCUCAGAAGACAUCCCUGUCCCUGAGCCCACUGCCUGGGGACAUUUGUCCCCACUUUCAGGAAUGAUGGGACCUGUCUAAGCCCUCCCCAACAGCAGGCACCGCUGAGGCUUCUGGACAUAAGACGAGGAUCCCUCUCCUGCUCCAAGCCAAGCUUCCGGCUUUGAGGUCGAGAAUUCCUUUCAUACUGCUUAAUCUGAGCCAUAUUGUGUGUGAUUUCUGUUGGAAGAACCUUACGAAAACAGUCAGUCAACCAAAACAGUUAAUAUGAAACUGUUGCCAGAGGAUUUCAUACACGAGCCUUCUGAUUAAGGGGAAAACGAGAUCUCCAGCCGGGCCAUCGAGAACAAUCAGAGAUCUUGUUCUCACUGUCUCUCAGUUCCCACCGCUCCUGGCUGGGCCCCCUUGUAGGGGGGAGAGCGGCUGACUCCACAGCCUCCCACGGUCAGAUCCUAUCAUCUCUCUUCCGUCUCCCACCAGGGAGGACGGGAUAUCUGAUGGGAAGCCGAUCUGGAGAGAAACGCUCUGACCGCCGCAGGGAAAGCUAUCUCCCACAGAGGGUCUCA
This is an RNA transcript of Marmota monax (woodchuck), 4286 nucleotides long. It is a transcript of the gene named heparan sulfate-glucosamine 3-sulfotransferase 6, with no coding region annotated. The transcript is spliced from 4 exons. The record is from RefSeq and is a predicted model, not a curated record. Lineage: Eukaryota; Metazoa; Chordata; Mammalia; Rodentia; Sciuridae.